Molecule: ribosomal RNA, 253 nt
Filed under: uncultured bacterium
Lineage: Bacteria
Description: partial 16S ribosomal RNA
Rfam family: Bacterial small subunit ribosomal RNA
Source: RNAcentral
UACGUAGGGGGCAAGCGUUGUCCGGAUUUAUUGGGCGUAAAGAGCGUGUAGGCGGCCAUACAGGUCCGUUGUGAAAACUGGAGGCUUAACCUCCAGACGUCGAUGGAAACCGUAUGGCUAGAGUCCGGAAGAGGAGAGUGGAAUUCCUGGUGUAGCGGUGAAAUGCGUAGAUAUCGGGAGGAACACCUGUGGCGAAAGCGGCUCACUGGACCACAACUGACGCUGAGGCGCGAAAGCUAGGGGAGCAAACAGG